CCUACGGGAGGCAGCAGUAGGGAAUCUUCCACAAUGGACGAAAGUCUGAUGGAGCAACGCCGCGUGAGCGAUGAAGGCCUUCGGGUCGUAAAGCUCUGUUGUCAGGGAAGAACAAGUAUCGGAGUAACUGCCGGUACCUUGACGGUACCUGACCAGAAACGCCACGGGCAAAUGCGAGCCAGCACCGGGGGAUAG
Molecule: ribosomal RNA, 195 nt
Filed under: uncultured bacterium
Lineage: Bacteria
Description: partial 16S ribosomal RNA
Rfam family: Bacterial small subunit ribosomal RNA
Source: RNAcentral